Molecule: ribosomal RNA, 506 nt
Filed under: uncultured bacterium
Lineage: Bacteria
Description: partial 16S ribosomal RNA
Rfam family: Bacterial small subunit ribosomal RNA
Source: RNAcentral
AGUGAACGCUGGCGGUAGGCCUAACACAUGCAAGUCGAACGGCAGCACAGGAGAGCUUGCUCUCUGGGUGGCGAGUGGCGGACGGGUGAGGAAUACAUCGGAAUCUACUCUGUCGUGGGGGAUAACGUAGGGAAACUUACGCUAAUACCGCAUACGACCUACGGGUGAAAGCAGGGGACCUUCGGGCCUUGCGCGAUUGAAUGAGCCGAUGUCGGAUUAGCUAGUUGGCGGGGUAAAGGCCCACCAAGGCGACGAGCCGUAGCUGGUCUGAGAGGAUGAUAAGCCACACUGCAACUGAGACACGGUCCAGACUCCUACGGGAGGCAGCAGUGGGGAAUAUUGGACACUGGGCGCAAGCCUGAUCCAGUCAUACCACGUGGGUGAAGAAGGCCUUCGGGUUGUAAAGCCCUUUUGUUGGGAAAGAAAUCCAGCUGGCUAAUACCCGGUUGGGAUGACGGUACCCAAAGAAUAAGCACCGGCUAACUUCGUGCCAGCCGCCGCCGUAA